This 440-nucleotide ribosomal RNA is filed under the name uncultured bacterium. Its description in RNAcentral is "partial 16S ribosomal RNA". It matches the Rfam family "Bacterial small subunit ribosomal RNA", at positions 338 to 795 of the family's 1533-position model. The record is from RNAcentral.
CCUACGGGAGGCAGCAGUGGGGAAUAUUGCACAAUGGGGGAAACCCUGAUGCAGCGACGCCGCGUGAGUGAAGAAGUAUUUCGGUAUGUAAAGCUCUAUCAGCAGGGAAGAAAAUGACGGUACCUGACUCAGAAGCCCCGGCUAACUACGUGCCAGCUGCCGCGGGACUAUGUAGGGGGCAAGAGUUAUCCGGAUGUACGGGGUGUAAAGGGAGCGUAGACGGCCAGACAAGUCAGAAGUGAAAGCCCAGGGCUCAACCCUGGGACUGCUUUUGAAACUGCCGGGCUGGAGUGCAGGAGAGGUAGGCGGAAUGCGUGGUGUAGCGGUGAAAUGCGUAGAUAUUAGGAGGAACACCAGUGGCGAAGGCAGCUUACUGGACAGUAACUGACGUUGAGGCUCGAAAGCGUGGGGAGCAAACAGGAUUAGAUACCCGAGUAGUC